GCCUCCUUGGCUCAGUUGGCUAGAGCGCGAGUCUCAUAUUCAAUUAUGAGGACCAAUACGUUCGCAAUCUCGAGGUCGUAAGUUCGAGCCUUACAGGGGGCA
Guyanagaster necrorhizus is the source of this 102-nucleotide non-coding RNA. The record is from the annotation of a RefSeq genome assembly. NCBI's taxonomy places the organism in Eukaryota, Fungi, Basidiomycota, Agaricomycetes, Agaricales, Physalacriaceae.